UAGGGAAUAUUGCAAAAUGGGCGAAAGCCCGAUGCAGCAACGCCGCGUGGGCGAUGAAGGCCUUCGGGUCGUAAAGCCCUUUUUGAGGGGAUGAGGAAGGACAGUACCCUCAGAAUAAGCCUCGGCUAACUACGUGCCAGCAGCCGCGGUAAAACGUAGGAGGCGAGCGUUAUCCGGAUUUACUGGGCGUAAAGCGCGUGCAGGCGGAUUGGAGAGUUGGAUGUGAAAGCUCCCGGCUGAACUGGGAGAGGUCGUUCAAUACUUCCAGUCUUGAGUGCAGUAGAGNGAAGUGGAAUUCCGGGUGUAGUGGUGAAAUGCGUAGAUAUCCGGAGGAACACCAGUGGCGAAAGCGGCUUACUGGACUGUAACUGACGCUCAGACGCGAAAGCUAGGGUAGCAAACG
Molecule: ribosomal RNA, 403 nt
Filed under: uncultured bacterium
Lineage: Bacteria
Description: bacterial SSU rRNA
Rfam family: Bacterial small subunit ribosomal RNA
Source: RNAcentral